This 440-nucleotide ribosomal RNA is filed under the name uncultured bacterium. RNAcentral describes it as "partial 16S ribosomal RNA". It matches the Rfam family "Bacterial small subunit ribosomal RNA", at positions 338 to 795 of the family's 1533-position model. The record is from RNAcentral.
CCUACGGGAGGCAGCAGUAGGGAAUUUUCGGCAAUGGGGGGAACCCUGACCGAGCAACGCCGCGUGAACGAAGAAGUUAUUCGUAAUGUAAAGUUCUAUCAGCAGGGAAGAAAAUGACGGUACCUGACUAAGAAGCCCCGGCUAACUACGUGCCAGCAGCCGCGGUAAUACGUAGGGGGCAAGCGUUAUCCGGAUUUACUGGGUGUAAAGGGAGCGUAGACGGCAGCACAAGUCUGGAGUGAAAUCCCGGGGCUUAACCCCGGAACUGCUUUGGAAACUGUGCGGCUGGAGUGCAGGAGGGGUAAGCGGAAUUCCUAGUGUAGCGGUGAAAUGCGUAGAUAUUAGGAGGAACACCGGUGGCGAAGGCGGCUUACUGGACUGUAACUGACGUUGAGGCUCGAAAGCGUGGGGAGCAAACAGGAUUAGAUACCCCAGUAGUC